ACAACUCCUGAAGGACCAGAGUUUGGGAAACACUGCACUUUAGGCCCACCUGAACUGCUCUCACUCAAUGCUAUGGAAUCCUGGGAGUUGUAGCAUUACAAAGACUUCUCUGCCCAAUUAUGAUUGGUCCCUCCCCAACUAAAAUUCCUAUAGCAUCGAGCCAUUGCAAUGUUUGAAAGCAGGAAAGACAAGGCCAAGCAUUAAACUACUUAAGAAUUGCUUUGAAUUAUACCCGAUGGAUGAAGCCCCAGGCCUUAGUAUCAUCUGUUUGACCCAUCUUUUAAUGACUGCAGCAUUCCAUUGCAAUGUAUCAUGUGGACAAAAUGACUUCAACACCAAGGCAGCUUUUUUCUGCUAUCUUUGAAAGGGUGAUCAUGAGAAGCAAUGAACACAUCAAAAAAGAAAGCGGUGAUGUGACAAAGACAUUUGCCUUCUGUACCAUGUGUGUUGGUGCGCAUGUGCAUGGCGGGAUGGAGAGAAAUACAGGUAUGUGAAUUUUUUGUUACAUAUAUAAUUUAAAUGUUAGCAGCAAGCAGCCUGCUGGUUUCUAAGCUAGAAAUAAACCAACAUCCACAAUUGUGAAACACCCCUGUAAGGAACAAGGUAACUUAAUGCGCAAAACAGCACAAAGAUUACUUUGAGACAUGAUCUUAGGGUAAGAGGUUUUCCAUAAAACACCCAGAAGCAUAUGUGAUAUGCUUUUAUUGCCCAUAAAGUUUGGAAACGUGACAUUUUUGGCCUGCAACUCUCAGUAUCUCCCAGCCUGUUGAUACACUCUUAAAAACUAAUUUCUGCAAACUGUGGUUUUAUGCAGCUACUUUUGUGCAGCAACAAAUGGUCCUGGAUGAGAAUGGAAAUAUGUUGAAAAGCCACCAUAAUACAACUCAGGUAUUCUUCCUAAUGAAAAUAGCAGAGUGGGAAAAUCUUGUUUAAGCCAUCCAGAUCUGAGAUGAAGCUUAAUUGUGGUGAAUCUUGUUCACCAAUUGCACUAUUCUGGGUACGUGAGAGAUACUGGAUCACACAACUGUCUGAUUAUAUAAUGGAUAGAAUAGAUGUGUUAUCCUCUGCUACAACUAUUAAUCCAAUCCCUGAUACCCAACAACAGUGAGUUAUUGGGCAACUUACUGAAAGCAUGGUAUGUAGGUCAGCUGAUGAUAGGGAAAUAAAAGAGGUGGGCACUGGGGCUGAAAAUGAUGGUAUAAUGUA
Molecule: long non-coding RNA, 1206 nt
Organism: Anolis carolinensis (green anole)
Lineage: Eukaryota; Metazoa; Chordata; Lepidosauria; Squamata; Anolidae
Exons: 3
Source: RefSeq, a predicted model, not a curated record